CUCCCUUUCCCACCCCAUACCCCUAGAAGAGUUCUACUGAAACUUCCACAAUAGUGAAGAGAGAGACCACAGAUGGAAGUUCCCAUAUUGGGUGGAACGCCUUUUUGUCAUACAAGUGUGUGACCUAAAGGGGGAAUGUCCUGAUAUUCACCUAGGAAUCUGAUCCACCCAUCUCAUCAACUCAGAAAUUGGAGUUAGUUAUUUUUUGAGGAAGAUGUGUUAAACCAUCCUAUGUGAUUAAGCAUUGAGAAGACUUGAGGAAAAUGAAUGGGCACAGGACUGGAGUGAACUUCCUACCAGCAUCCUGCAGGCCAUUCUACCUGCCACUAGAAAAUGUGAGCACUUCCAUCAUUUACCAUGCUGAUCAUUAGGCCAGAAUUUUUUUCAAAAAUUGUUUGAAGUAGUUUAGAGGAAUGAAACAAUGCUAGGACAGCUUUGGAACUGAUGAUUGAAGACAGAGACUGCUGAGUACAUUUUUCCCAUCCUCUGGGUUCUACUAGUUGUUCUCAGAGCUUUCUGGCCCUCUUGUUUUGGCUAAUUUUGAUUUUCAAAGACAUCAGAGGGAGAAAGUUACCUUUCUUCCAUUAUGUCGCAUUAGUACUACUAGACUAUGAUGUUUGUUGAGGUUUUCUUGAUUUCUUCCAUCCUAUAAAAGAAGCUGGGAGCCCAUAAUGAAGUUUCAGUUAUAUUGUCUCAGAAUAUCCUUGAUCACUGAGUGCAUGUCUGGUAGAUCUUAUACCCGAUGAAAUUAAUUCAGUGGGCUGUUGGCUGGUUUGGUUUGUACAACUAACAAAAGAGAGGGGAGAAAAGUGUGGAGGCCACCUAACAAUGACAGGGGCUCUGGGAAAACAACCAAAGACAAAAGCAUAUCUUCUGAAGACCAGAGGUCCAGCAAAGAACUUUGUAGCACAGCCUUCCUGAACUCCUGAGUUAGAACAGUCUCCUAGAAUAAAGCAGCAGAGUUUGAAAGAUCAGUCAGUGCAGGGGACCUCCUCUGAGCCUCACGUCCACUGUCAGAUCCUGUCGAGUGUAUGGGGUGAUUUGAGCAAAACAGGCCCAUCGGUGUGAUUCAGUGUCUCACUGCUUUGUGAUCCACCAUGAGAAGUAUGCUGUGGUGCCACAUAUUUCUCAAUCUGAUGCCUUUUUUGUCUUCGGUUUUGUUUUGCCAUUUGCAUUCCUAUUUCAUAGUGUCACGAUGAAUUUUUGUAUCACGUUUGGUCUUUGUCCACUACAAACUGUAGGAUCACAGUUAAGCCUUCCGUGAAUUCCCUGGUUUGGCAUCUUUUACCUUAGCAUUAUUUUGAGGGUUUUUCCUCCCUUAUUACAUUUCCUUAUUACAGUGCCACUACACUGUAUUCAGGUGGGGAAAUAAACACGUAGGUGCUUGAGCAUGCCCCAAGGACACGGCCGUAGCCCUGUGGUAUUUGUGGCUGUCCUUCUUGACACAGUAUAGACUUUACAGAGGGUUGUGCUCUCAGAGGACUUAAAAAAUAUGUAUAUUAAGCAAUUAACUUUCUGGAGUUAUCAAAAUUUGCUGGGAAAUUAACUUCCAAGAGCUCUGAAUUGGAUGGAAUUCCGUCUGGCUUCAGAGUACAAUGAGCCAAUAUGAAGUGGAGCUUUGAAAUGGUUUCCUUGUGCAGAAAUAUGAUCUAGGAACAAAAGUGCUGAUCUAAUGCUAAGUUUUCUGUGUACUAACUCAGUUGCCAGAAUUAUAAUGAAAACUGUAUUUUAGUCUAACAAAUGUAUAG
This 1748-nucleotide long non-coding RNA is filed under the name Bos taurus (domestic cattle). RNAcentral's name for it is "long non-coding RNA NONBTAT024862". The record is from RNAcentral. Lineage: Eukaryota; Metazoa; Chordata; Mammalia; Artiodactyla; Bovidae.